The sequence is a ribosomal RNA, 404 nucleotides long. It matches the Rfam family "Bacterial small subunit ribosomal RNA", at positions 355 to 774 of the family's 1533-position model.
UGGGGAAUAUUGGGCAAUGGGGGCAACCCUGACCCAGCGACGCCGCGUGAGGGAAGAAGGUUUUCGGAUUGUAAACCUCUGUCUUCGGGGAUGAACAAAAUGACAGUACCCGAGGAGGAAGCCACGGCUAACUACGUGCCAGCAGCCGCGGUAAUACGUAGGUGGCAAGCGUUGUCCGGAAUUACUGGGUGUAAAGGGAGCGUAGGCGGGUAGGCAAGUUGAAUGUUAAACUUAUGGGCUCAACCCAUAAUUGCGUUCAAAACUGCAGAUCUUGAGUGAAGUAGAGGCAAGCGGAAUUCCUAGUGUAGCGGUGAAAUGCGUAGAUAUUAGGAGGAACACCAGUGGCGAAGGCGGCUUGCUGGGCUUUUACUGACGCUGAGGCUCGAAAGCAUGGGGAGCAAACA